UAUGAGGUCAUCACAUUUAGAAGAAAUGA
Molecule: non-coding RNA, 29 nt
Filed under: Mus musculus (house mouse)
Lineage: Eukaryota; Metazoa; Chordata; Mammalia; Rodentia; Muridae
Source: RNAcentral